This 247-nucleotide ribosomal RNA is filed under the name uncultured bacterium. RNAcentral's name for it is "partial 16S ribosomal RNA". It matches the Rfam family "Bacterial small subunit ribosomal RNA", at positions 15 to 244 of the family's 1533-position model. The record is from RNAcentral.
GAUCAUGGCUCAGGAUGAACGCUGGCGGCGUGCCUAACACAUGCAAGUCGAACGGGGUUAUUUUGGAAAUCUCUUCGGAGAUGGAAUUCUUAACCUAGUGGCGGACGGGUGAGUAACGCGUGAGCAAUCUGCUUUAGGAGGGGGAUAACAGUUGGAAACGACUGCUAAUACCGCAUAAGCCCACGGGUCGGCAUCGACCAGAGGGAAAAGGAGCAAUCCGCUUUGAGAUGGCCUCGCGUCCGAUUAG